Molecule: unclassified non-coding RNA, 1193 nt
Filed under: Zea mays
Lineage: Eukaryota; Viridiplantae; Streptophyta; Magnoliopsida; Poales; Poaceae
Description: misc RNA Zm00001eb291910
Source: RNAcentral
GCACAAAGAAAUUCAGAGCACUCCAACAAAAUCCAGACCGACGAAUCUCACGCUCACGCAGGCAGGGUGACUCACUGUCACUGUGCCUUGGACUUUGCUCCAGUCACAUUGGAAACAAUCUCACGGAGGAACCUGGCCGAUUUGGUCACCGGCGAGUUCGCGGCCAUGAUGUUGUACAGCAUAGACUCCACCUCGCCGAUCGUCGGCCGCUUCUUAAGCCGCGACACGACCUUGAACUCCUGCCCGUCCGACGCGCCGCCGUCAUUCUCCACCAUGAGCACCCAGCCCUCGCCACCGAACCGCCCGGCCUCGGCGCACCGCAGCAGCACGCCCCUCUUCUUGCUCAGCAGGCCCCGCACCUCCAGCCCCGUGAAGGAGUAGACCACGUCGAAGGACCCCACGAAGCCCCUCGCGCCGGCGCCGAAUUUCUCCCCGUCUCCCUCCUCGUCGAAGCUCCACGACGGGUUGAACAGCACCACCGGCCUGGGCUCCAGCGCCGCGGCGGCGGCCUUCACCUGCUCCACCUGCGCCGGCCCGGUGGCCAGGAACACCGCGGCAUCGCAGGCGCCCAGCGCGUCCGGCGCCAUCGAGCCCAGUCGGGCGUGCGCCGUCGCCGAGUCCCCCUGGUCCUCGAACUCCCUCAAGGCCACGGACAGCGCCUCGGCCGAGGGCCAGAUGAGCAGCAGCCUCGCCGGCGCGCCCUUCCUCGACGCCCCUGCUCCGCCCGAGAGCACGUCGAACGCGAGGCGCGCGAGGGAGCCCGGCGAUUCGUCGACUACGGGGAUCUCCGCGCGGAACCGCGGCUGCCGCUGCCUCUUGAGCGGGAUCGAGCUGUUGAGCGGCUUCUGCAGCGCCGUGGCGAGGCAGGACCGUGCCUGGGCGACGGCCUCCUGCCUCGAAGACGGCGGCGACGGGGUGUUGGCAGUGUCUAGCUGCGGAGACGUGGAUGAUCGGACGCCUUGCCGCGGCGGUGGCUUGCUGCGGAGUAGAGAGCGGCAGGGUGGGAUCUGACGCGGUGCCAAGAAGACCGAUGGGCGCGUCGGGAGUGGCGGGGGCGGGGGGUUGAGCGCGAUCUUGAAAGGAGGAAGGUUGAGGAGGUUGUUCGAGGCCAUUGGCGCGGGAAGGGUCAGUGCAACUGUGCAAGAGAAGAUAAGGUGUUAUCCACAUGGCGCGGGCAGACGCGGAUAACGAAG